UGAGAUGCCAGAAAGCUCAGAGGCAGAAAGAAGAAGUCCCAUGACUUCUUUCAGCUACUUCACUGAUCCCCUGCUCCUCAUUCCUGAGAGGGCUUUUCUUAAGUCUGUUCCUUCUGUUGCAAAACUAUUGCCACAGUGACCUUGUGUGUGAAGACCCAGCAUCUGGGGUGCAUCUCCACUAAGUAAAGACAUCAUGAAGCUUCAGCUGGCCUACCAGGAAGUGAAAGACCCUAAGCAUGGCCCUCAAGAAAUAAAAAGAAAAUACGUGCA
RNAcentral lists this long non-coding RNA (270 nucleotides) under Rattus norvegicus (Norway rat). RNAcentral describes it as "long non-coding RNA NONRATT012576". The record is from RNAcentral. Lineage: Eukaryota; Metazoa; Chordata; Mammalia; Rodentia; Muridae.